GUGUCUGUAGAGGAAGAUUCAUGGUAAAGAACACCAUAAUCUAGUCUUGAUAACUUAGUUAAAAUAAUUUGCAAGUGGGAAAGCUGCUUUUGUGGCUGUGCUUCACUUGCACAGCCAGGGAGCUGACUGGCAUCCUAUGAUUGAAAGAAUGUAUGCCAAGCAGUGCAGCUGGAGAGGAAUGAAGAAGCUACUCAGAAGAUAAAUGAAUACAGCAGUUAAUUAAAGAUAUAUAGUUUCCACUUGAAGCAGUUCUAUGUUUUUAAGGAGGAAUUGUAGGUGAAGAGGAGAAACUUGAGGCCAAUGGGCCCUAUCUGAGGUUUAACUGUGCUCUGCAAGUACAUAGCUCAUGGCUGAAAAGGAACUGCUGGCAAUUUUUACUUCUUUGUGACAUCAGAAUUUAUCAAGCAGAAGGUCUGUGGGACUUCUUACUUUGCUUUGGUUUUCUUGCUCUCAUUCUUGCACAAUAUCUUA
Long non-coding RNA from Zonotrichia leucophrys gambelii, 471 nucleotides. RefSeq lists it as uncharacterized. Lineage: Eukaryota; Metazoa; Chordata; Aves; Passeriformes; Passerellidae. The transcript is spliced from 3 exons. The record is from RefSeq and is a predicted model, not a curated record.